GGCAGGAGAGCAGUUCCUCCCCUUGUAGGUUCGCUCUAGCAGGCCUGUGCAGCAGGUACCGUGCUUUUUUCUUUACAUCACUUCCGCCGGGGCCAGACGCAGCAACGCAAGCUGCUCUACAGUUCCGCGGCGCAUGCUCAGCAGCCCACGAGACGACUCCUUCUGCAGCCCAGACUAGUCAAAACCUGGCGAGACAUCCAUGCUGCCAGGCUAUCCAAAACGGCACGGAGGCUUCAGGGCGGGCCACUGGGCGUGCGCAGCCGCCGGUACAGACAUGCGCAGAAGGCGCAGAGACGCAAAGCCUCGGCGGGGGAAUUCUGGCGGGCUUUCUGCGCUCCUCCCCGCGGGCCCCUGGGAGCCGAGUCCACUUCUCUGAUUGGUUGGCGGGGUGACAGGCGCAUCACUGAUUGGCGAGCAGCUGGACAGCGGGCUCCGCCUCCCGCAGCUGAAGCUCGCGACGCCUCGAGCGCGCCACGUUUGAUGGAGAAAUAAUUUGAGACACCUGAGGCGGCACGAGCCGCACGAGGAGGAAGACCAGCAGAGCCGAGAAGGAGAAGCUCCCCCCAGGGAACCAGGGGCCCCCACGCCCCACACCGCAGCAGGGGGGCCAAGGCCGGGGAGGAGAAGCUUUCCUCAGGGAACCAGGGGCCCCCACGCCCCACACCGCAGCAGGGGGGCCAAGGCCGGGGAGGAGAAGCUUUCCUCAGGGAACGAGGGGGCUUCACGCCCCACAUUGCAGCAGGGGGGCCAAGGCCGGGGAGAAGAGGCUCUCCUCAGGGAACGAGGGGGCUUCACGCCCCACAUUGCCCCUACUCGGCUGCUGAGGAAGGCCAACCACAAGCCUCUAAGGGGCAGAGAAAUGCUCUGAGGGAAGGCUGUCUCCAAGACGGCAAGGAAGGGCUCCAUGCCCAGCAGUGGCUUUUACCUCAGCAUUUUAGUGAGAAUAAUUAAUAAAUAGUCAUGGAGGAAAAGCUGUCUCUAAGCUUGCUUCUAAUCCUCUGGGGGAAGUGCUCUAUGCCCAGCCUUGGCUUUUACCUCACCAAAAUAAUGAUAAUAAAUCUCUGUUGCUUCAGAAAAAGGAGGAGGAAACCACUCAAGCCAUGCUACUUAGCCAGGAUAGGGCUUUUUAAAAGAAUACUUUGUGGGAGAGUGGUGGGAUUACGGUCUUCAAGACCCCUGCCAAAAGCCAGUUUCUGAAGGGAAGGGAAGUUUCUGAGUGGGGAGUUCAUCUCUCUGCUUGGGCUACGUCUUGCCAAAAGAACUCAAACCCCUUCUGUGGAUGCUGCAGCCGUGCUGACGUGUGCAAAAGCCCUGCCACCUCACUGCCCACAUUUGUAGCAUUUGUCUGCAGAGGGCAACACGCCACAGAUUCUCCCCGUCCGCAGAACACUGGGGCGCCACAGUCUUCUGCAUCACGGUGAAAAUCUGUCCACUCUUAGAGCGUUCUUUCUCUCUGCAUACAAAUGCUAUAAAUAUGGACCGCGUAGGGCAGGACUUCUGAGCGCAACGGCACAGGGGCUGUAGCAGGAAAUUCCCUGAGGCCAGGGGCUGCUGUGCAACUACAGACUGGCCCUUUUAGUCUGAGAAAACUGGGUGCGACCUGAGGCUCCUUUAUUCUCCCAACAGCUGUGUAUGGCAGCAUAAUUCCUAAGAGAGUGGCUGGCUUGAAUGAAACACCCUCCCUGCGCAUUAAAAGGCUUAGGCUUCUAGAUACUCAGAACACUUUUCUGAGGCAGCAUAAUCUCUAAUUUUCAGGCAGGCUUGUAUGGAACAUGCUUCAGGCUUCUUAAUUCUCUCAAGAGAAGAGAGGAUUCUCUUUAUAGUCUCUCAAAUUCUUUUUAAUGAGUUAUAUCUUUUCAUAUUUGUGAAUGGCAUAGAGCUAUCUGGAUGAGGGGUAUAGACACUUAAUGAAAGAAUGAAUAAAUAAAACAGCUGUGGGAGUCAACAUAAUCUCAAAAAUGGGGGCUGGCUUGUAUGCAUGAUAGAAGCACCAGGAUGCUUUAUAACUGCCAACUUUAUAGGGAAGGAUAAUCUCAAAUUUAGAACCUAUCUUUAACUGAAAAUUUUUCAUUUGUGUUCUCUCCCCACAACAUCGCUUGGAGGACAAUUUAGCAAAAAGAAACGGAGUUGGUGCAUGUGUCCCUAUGACCCACAGACCGGAGUGCUGCUCUUGGAGCAUUUGUUCCUCUCCAGAGGCCAACGUGGCAGAUUUCACAAAAGGCGGCAACCACACACAAGCCAAGGAAGGAGGAAAAGAGUCUCAUGGAAGAACCAAGAGGCAGCGACACACAAGCCACAAAGGAAUUAAAAGAGCCGAUGACGAUGCACAAGAUAGCCAAAGCAAGGGCUGUGUUCCCCACCGCCCUGAAUGCUCUGUCAAUCCAGGGUCCAUCAGUAGAAACUUCAGGCUGCUUUGUUCUCUCACCACCUGUGGAAGGCAGCAUGGUCUCUCAUUCUGUGGCUGCCUGGAAUGAAACACGCUUCAUGUAUGUUACAAGCUUCAGGCGUCUUUAUUCUCCCAACAGCCUUGUCAAGCUGGAUAUCCUCUAAGAUGGAGACUGCCUUUAACAGGACACACUUCAUGUGUGCUGCAUGCUCAGCAGCCCUUUGUGCCAUGUUUGGAAAGAAGAAACAGAGUUGGCACACAUUUGCAAUGACCUCCAUGCCGGAGUGGGGAUUUUGGAAUGUUUUUUCCUCCCAAGAGGCCUGUGUGGGAGGCAGGAUCAAAGACGGGCUGGACCAAGUGGGAUUCAAGAAAGAGCACAAGGAAUGAGGAGGACACAGAGGACAAGACAAGCUGACCUGAUCAAUCUUGUGACGAGGAGGCGCAUUGUCCGAGAAUUGAACAGAUUUCAGGAAAGAGCUGAAGGAGCGAGGACAAGACAAGCUGUCUCAAUCUCUUUCGUGAUGAGGCUUCAUCAGAGAACUGAAGAACAUAUACAAAAUAUAAAGAUGUAUACAAAUACUGAGCAUACUUAUUUAUUACAUACCGAUUGUCACAGGAGAAUAGAAAAAUGAAACUCUGAAAAUGUAUUACUCAGGAAAUCUAAGGUGUCAUCCUUCAUAAAUGCCUCAUACUCUAACAUCAUGUGGAUUUGCUCACACUUCAAAUAAAUUAUGUAACUUGUUCUUUCCCAAAGGAUUUCAAAAACAGACCAGUGGAGGCGACAAGAGACAAGCCACGCCAAGCAAAACUGCAUUACCCUUUUAGGGUUUUUUUUCAGAUUGGUCUCAAAACGAGUGGCUGGCUGCUGCAAAUAGAGGCUUCAAGCGAGAGUUGAUUUUGUCCUUGACCCUGUGAGGUAAGUUAGCCUGGAAUAAUAUGUGCUGGCUUCAAGGGUUCAUGCCUAAAAAAUAAGAAUACAUUUGUUUAAAUUGUUUGUAUCCUGUCUAUUCAAGAGCCUUAAACAACCAUCUCUUCAGCCUGGCUUUUAAUGAUAUCUUGUUUUAAUCUUAAUUUUAAUUAGAUUUAAUCUGGUUUAAAUGUUUCUUGAUUUUAAUUGUUUUAUUUUGUGUUUUUUUUAUUUUAAUGUAAACCAGCCUGAGCCAAUGAAUGAAUGAAUGAAUGAAUGAAAUAAUAAAUAUUCAACAAAAUGCUAUUCAGGGCUGCUUGCCCUCUCUUAAAUGAAAACAACAACCACCCCCUACUAAAUGCAAAACAACAACAAAACCCACUAUUAAAUGCAAGCUCCCACACUACUAAAUUAAAAAAAAACACUACUAAAUGCAACAACCCCCCGCAAAGCCCACUACUAAAUGGGAAAAAACCCCACCACUAAAUGCACACACUCCACUAAUAAAUGCAAAAAAAAAAUUCACUACUAAAUGCAAUAAAACAGAAGAUAAAAUAGACAAGAAAAAAGAGCAUUCACAACUAAAAACUGAGUAUUCUAAACAGGAGUUAAAAAAACAACCACCAUUGGCUCUGUUCACCAGCCAUUCUCAUUGAACUCUGUUGGUACAUUACUCGUCAGGUUUUUUCACCCGUCAGGCAUCCUUUUUCACUUGACACAGAUGGGUAGACUAGUGGAUUUUCUGAGCCCUGAUUCUAAACUUGGAUUGGAGAAAAAUGGAAUUUUUUCUUGGUGCAGAUCUCCUGACCUAGCUGCUUUGCGUGAGUAUUUGUUCAGUGAAUCUGAAAAAACUAUUAUUGUGAUGUUUGAAACUAACAUUUAACACAUUUGUUAAAGAUUUGUGGUAAUGUUUUAUUUUGAAACAUGAAUUAUUUGAAAUGAUGAAAGAAUGUUAAUAUGCCUAUAUAUUCUCUUUUUACCCAGCAGGUUGACUUGUAUACAGUGCCACGUGGAUGGUGCAUAAAUCCCUGCCAAGGAGGAUAUUGCAAGAAAUCGGAAAUGUAUAAAAGUGGCUACUGUCAGAGGGGUAUAUAUUAACCUAUGUCUAGAUAUGCUUUUGAUUUUCUUUUCCCCUAGCAAUCAAUCAAUGUAUCUAUAGACCAGAAAAAUUUCCCCUAGCAGACUGAUUUACAUAGACGGCCAUGUGGAUUGUGGGUAAAUCCCUACUUAGGAGGUUAUUUGAAGAAAUCCAAAGUGUAUAAAAGUGGCUGAUAUCAAAGAGAUGUGGCCUUGUGAGGAGGAAUCUCACUGUGAACCACACGCUUCAAGGAAGGGCUUUUUGAACCAGGAUGCAGCCUGCAGCUACGCUUAGGAACAUGGCAGCUGGCAAAAGUGGUGCUGCAACCCCUUCUGUGCUGCUGACACACAAGAGAAAAACCUUCUUUCCAUCCUGGGCCUUUUGCCCAAGAAAUCUCAAGAACCUAGAACUUAUGUGCAAAGCAUUUCUAAAUGGAAGAAGUGAAAACCCCACCAGCUCUUUACUCACUAAAUACUUUUUGUUGCCUCUGUGUAUCUCUUUUUGGACUCCCCUUGAAGCUAAAGAUGUGAAGUGCCAUUUGUACCCUGGGUCUCUCACCAAACAACUCUCAAGCCUGCAAAGUUUCUUGGCAAAGCAAAGCGUCUCUAGUUGGAAGAAGUGACAGCCCCAGAAGUCACCAAUCCUGAUGUUUCACUUUGGGAAACUUGAGUGAAAUGUUAGUUGGCCUUAUUGUCAAAUCUUACUCUUGAUUACUUCUUUUUAGGCAAAUAAGAUAAUAAUUUGCCUUGGUACUGAACUUUUAUCUUGAAUGGCACAAGGAGGGCGAGUAGGAGAUUGGGGCUGAAUAUGAAAAGAAUUUCUAAUUUCAACCCAUUGCUCUAAUUGUUAUUGCUCUCCGGAUAAAGGACACUGCUAAAGGAAGAGUUUAAUAAGGAUAUAAAGGAGUCUAGUAAGGAUUAAAGAACUAAUUCCUAUGCUUUGGCACAUUAUACUCCCCCACCCCACUUUAUAAGCAUGUAAUAUGCUUAGUAAGAUAUCUGGAUGGGAGCGGGAGAGGGGGGGAGAGCCCUGAACGUAAACAUUUAGUAGCUCUUUCAUGCUUUCUUCACAUUUGUAACUGGAUUCACUUACUCCCUAGUUCUGGGAGAGAGGGAACAUUGGUUUUGGUUCUCCUCACUCUUUUGUAGAAUUCUGUUUAACAUUGUCUUAGUUGGUUUAACCUGGUUACUUUUCUCUCUCACCUUUUUGGUGGUGAUUCGGAGGAUGGGGAGGGAAGGAUAGUUCCUGGGUUUAGUUAUGAAUGUAUUUCAAUGCUAACAGUUUCUGCCAAAGAUGAUGUAUUUCGACUCAAGGCCUAUGAUAUAACAUUAGUCCAAUUGGUUAUAGCACUUGCAGUUGUUGACAUGGGUAAUCUGUCCUUUAAAGAUGGGUGAUUUAAAUAUUUUUUCAGUUAAUUGUAAUGGCUUAGUUUCUUAUCAAACAUUCUAAGGUGUUUAAAACAAAGGACAGAUAUAAUUUUUCUUCAAGAAACACGUACUAAAAGAGGAACAACAACAUUGUUUAGUUUAAUUAUCCUCAUCAGGGAUAGCAGCUGGAAGCUCGAAGUCCAAAGGAACUGCCACAUUGUUUUCCCCAAAUUGCUGAUUUACACCCUUGAAAGACUAUAAAGAUUCUUUUGGUCCGUUUGUAUAUAUUGAGGGCACAUUUUUGGAUAAACCCUUGUUACUGUGUUCCAUAUAUGCCCCAAAUACUCUGUCACUGAAAAUCUCUUUUAAAAACUUCAAAGUAUUAAGAUUCAAGAUUGGAUAAAUGGGUGUGGUUUUAACGUAACCAUAAACCCUGCUUUGGAUAGGUCAGCCUCCAAGUAUACUCCCAAUAUUUCUACUUCUAAGUUCCCUAUAGCAUAUCUCUCUAAGGAAGCUAAUUUGGUAGUUCCUUGGCAGUUGUUACACCCAGGGGAAAGGGAUUACACAUUCUUGUCUGCCAGACAUGAAACUUGUUCUAGGAUUGAUUAUGUUCUCAUCUCCAGUUCCCUACAGAAUGAUAUUCAAGAUGCUAUUAGUGAUAACAUUUGGACAGAUCUCAAUUGGAUAAUAUGCUCAUUAAGUUUUGAAAGUUCUAAUAACCCAAUUUCUUGGUUGAAAACUUAUUUAUUAUACAAUAAAGAUAUAUGCAAAACAUUGGAA
Molecule: long non-coding RNA, 6518 nt
Organism: Hemicordylus capensis (graceful crag lizard)
Lineage: Eukaryota; Metazoa; Chordata; Lepidosauria; Squamata; Cordylidae
Exons: 5
Source: RefSeq, a predicted model, not a curated record